Molecule: ribosomal RNA, 1417 nt
Filed under: Hyloxalus leucophaeus
Lineage: Eukaryota; Metazoa; Chordata; Amphibia; Anura; Dendrobatidae
Description: partial 16S ribosomal RNA
Rfam family: Bacterial large subunit ribosomal RNA
Source: RNAcentral
ACUGAAUUUCUAGCCCUACUCUUCUCUAUUUACUUCCUUUAUUUAUUUUCUACCAACCAAAACAUUUUAACAAUCUAGUAAAGGCGAUUAAAAAAUUUAUUGGCGCAAUAUACCUAGUACCGCAAGGGAAUGAUGAAAUAAAACUGAAACAACUCUCAAGCACAAAAAAGUAGAGUUUAACCCUCGUACCUUUUGCAUCAUGAUUUAACUAGUCUAACCAAGCAAAAAGACUUUUAGUUUGACUCCCCGAAACUAAGCGAGCUACUUUAGAACAGCUUUAUGAGCAAACCCGUCUCUGUUGCAAAAGAGUGGGAAGAUUUUAAAAUAGCGGUGAAAAACCAAACGAGCCUAGUGAUAGCUGGUUGCUCAUGAAAAGGAUUUAAGUCCUGCUUAAAGAUAUAUUUAUUCAACAAAAUUUUUCUUUAAAGUAAUUCAAAUAAGGUACAGCCUAUUUGAAAAAGGAUACAACCUCCACUUUUGGGUUACUCUUCACGAAUCAAUAAUAAAGUAGGCCUAAAAGCAGCCAUCUAAGAUAAAAGCGUCAUAGCUUCCUUAUUCAUUCAUAUAAUUCCUUUAUUUUUCUACCUAACCCUUUAUUAUUAAAAAGCAACUCUAUACCCCUAUAGAAAAUUUUAUGUUAAAACUAGUAAUAAGAAGACUAAUUCUUCUCCUUAAUGCAAAUGUAAAUCAGCAAGGAUCGUCCACUGAUCUUUAUCGUCAUUAACAUUAUAGUAGUAACUUACAAGAAAAAACUACUCCACAUUACGUUAACCUAACACAAGAGCAUUUUAAGAAAGAUUUAAAGAAAAAGAAGGAACUCGGCAAAUAUUAGCCUCGCCUGUUUACCAAAAACAUCGCCUCCCGAACCAUAUGGGAGGUCCAGCCUGCCCAGUGACAUUGUUCAACGGCCGCGGUAUCCUAACCGUGCGAAGGUAGCGUAAUCACUUGUUCUUUAAAUGAGGACUGGUAUGAACGGCUUCACGAAGGCUAUACUGUCUCCUUUUUCUAAUCAAUGAAACUAAUCUCCCCGUGAAGAAGCGGGGAUGAACCUAUAAGACGAGAAGACCCUAUGGAGCUUUAAACAACCGAAAUACCUGCUUUUAUGUCUUCUCACUUCAGAAAAUUAAAUUUAACUCAACAGCUUAUUUCCAGUUUUAGGUUGGGGUGACCACGGAGCAUAAACUAUCCUCCAUGCUGAAAGAGACUUCAUCUCUUAAUAUAAAGCUACAACUUCAUGCACCAACAAAUUGACUCCCAUUGACCCAAAUAAUUUGAUCAACGAACCAAGUUACCCUAGGGAUAACAGCGCAAUCUAUUUUAAGAGCUCCUAUCGACAAAUAGGUUUACGACCUCGAUGUUGGAUCAGGGUAUCCUAGUGGUGCAGCCGCUACUAACGGUUCGUUGUCAACGAUAAAAC